Long non-coding RNA from Carassius carassius (crucian carp), 150 nucleotides. RefSeq lists it as uncharacterized. Lineage: Eukaryota; Metazoa; Chordata; Actinopteri; Cypriniformes; Cyprinidae. The record is from RefSeq and is a predicted model, not a curated record. The transcript is spliced from 3 exons.
UAGGAAUCAGGAUCACCAGAACCAGAGGACCCAAGACAACACAAAAACAUCACAGAGACCAUUGAGGAACGUAGGGCUUUGCGCCAGCAGCAAGAUGAUGAAUUUAAUGCGUCUGUACUGGCAGACAGAGAAAGCGAGAUGAGACGUCAG